UUUUCUAGAGGUUUACACCACAGGCAUCGCAAAAUAGAUUUUUGUUAUGUUCAUAUAUUUCGUUAUUUUAUUUUUUUCUUUUCAGGAAGUUUAUAGUGCUCAGCGAUGUUACAUGUGUUUCGACCGAUGUGAUCUUGGAUGGGGUGUAGAGACCUGUAGUACUAGGUAUGGGGAAAACACAGAAACAAAAUGUAUUUCCGUUCAAGCUGACUCGGAUAGGUUAGCACGAAAACAAUGUAUGAGUUCCGAACAGGCCGAAAAUUUUUGUGAAAAAUUUAAUGGAUAUGAAUACGUAACGUGCUACUUUUGCAAUGAAGACCUUUGCAACUCAGGUGGAACCGUAAAGCCUAUUUUGUAUAUCUUUGUAGUCACUUUUAUUUUAAUGAUGAUAGCCAACGUAACUUGACUUUAAGAUCAAA
Long non-coding RNA from Zophobas morio, 419 nucleotides. RefSeq lists it as uncharacterized. The record is from RefSeq and is a predicted model, not a curated record. Lineage: Eukaryota; Metazoa; Arthropoda; Insecta; Coleoptera; Tenebrionidae. The transcript has 3 exons.